This 613-nucleotide long non-coding RNA is filed under the name Carica papaya (papaya). Its description in RNAcentral is "long non-coding RNA (CPAP_LNC006979)". Lineage: Eukaryota; Viridiplantae; Streptophyta; Magnoliopsida; Brassicales; Caricaceae. The record is from RNAcentral.
UGUUUUCUGACUUGGGGGAUAGAAUUUGGGAAUGAGUGACUUGAAACCCUGUUUGUUCUUUUUUGUUUAAGGUUUGUAUGAAUACUGCUAAAAAAAAAAAUGAAUUAUUCCUCCCUGUUAGGCUAGUAGUAGUUGUUAUAUGUGAUAGAUUGUAGGUAUAUUAGUAUAUGUAGGUUUAGUUUUAUCUUCAUCUUAUCAUUGUUAUUAUGGCUCAUGAUCUGUUAAAUUCAGCUUCUGUACUUCGAACUGAAAAAAAAAAAUAUUUGGGGGAAGAAAAACAAAAGGUUGCUUGUUUAUAGGUUGCUUGUUUACAUUUUUUGCUACUUAAUAUUUUUACGCAAUAAUGCCUUGUUUGUUUGAGUCCUUUUUUUUACGUUUAAGCAUUUUUGAUUACUUUGCCCUGGUAGGCUGCCCAAAUUUUUAUGCUGUAUUGAAUCACUGAAUGCGACUCUGUACUUCCCUCUUACGAUUUUUUUUUUUUUUUCCAAUUUUAAUCAUAGUUUGAGUUCUGGGUUUUUUUUUUUUUUUUUUUUAAGGGUUAUAAAUAUUUUCUAGUUUUAUUAUAUUUUUUUUUGUAGUAUUUAUAAUUUAUUACUUUUUGGAAUGAUAUUUG